GAUGAACGCUGGCGGCGUGCCUAAUACAUGCAAGUCGAGCGAACAGACGAGGAGCUUGCUCCUCUGACGUUAGCUGCGGACGGGUGAGUAACACGUGGAUAACCUACCUAUAAGACUGGGAUAACUUCGGGAAACCGGAGCUAAUACCGGAUAAUAUAUUGAACCGCAUGGUUCAAUAGUGAAAGACGGUUUUGCUGUCACUUAUAGAUGGAUCCGCGCCGCAUUAGCUAGUUGGUAAGGUAACGGCUUACCAAGGCAACGAUGCGUAGCCGACCUGAGAGGGUGAUCGGCCACACUGGAACUGAGACACGGUCCAGACUCCUACGGGAGGCAGCAGUAGGGAAUCUUCCGCAAUGGGCGAAAGCCUGACGGAGCAACGCCGCGUGAGUGAUGAAGGUCUUCGGAUCGUAAAACUCUGUUAUUAGGGAAGAACAAAUGUGUAAGUAACUAUGCACGUCUUGACGGUACCUAAUCAGAAAGCCACGACUAACUACGUG
RNAcentral lists this ribosomal RNA (497 nucleotides) under uncultured bacterium. RNAcentral describes it as "partial 16S ribosomal RNA". It matches the Rfam family "Bacterial small subunit ribosomal RNA", at positions 28 to 507 of the family's 1533-position model. The record is from RNAcentral.